Dioscorea cayenensis subsp. rotundata (Guinea yam) is the source of this 286-nucleotide long non-coding RNA. RefSeq lists it as uncharacterized. NCBI's taxonomy places the organism in Eukaryota, Viridiplantae, Streptophyta, Magnoliopsida, Dioscoreales, Dioscoreaceae. The transcript is spliced from 3 exons. The record is from RefSeq and is a predicted model, not a curated record.
ACUUCUUAGGAGAAAGGAAGCUGAAGAAAACCAAGGCUUCACCAAUGGGAAGGUUAGCAAGAGAGGUGUUAAAAUGAGAUGUAGUGUGUGUGGUGAAACAGGACACAACAAGAGAUAUCAUGGACUAAAGGGAAAUAGAGAUGCUUCAGGCGGGCAAACACAUGGAGAGGCAAGCCAAGGUGAAUCCAUCACAGCAGAUGAUCAAAUUGCAAUGAAUGAUGCUUUGAGACUAAUUGAUGAAAAUGAGAGAGCUGAAGCAAAUACAGAAGCAGGGGGAGAAUAUCAC